This 1816-nucleotide ribosomal RNA is filed under the name metagenome. RNAcentral describes it as "bacterial LSU rRNA". It matches the Rfam family "Bacterial large subunit ribosomal RNA", at positions 489 to 2310 of the family's 2925-position model. The record is from RNAcentral.
AGCGAACCAGUACCGUGAGGGAAAGGUGAAAAGAACCCCGAGCAGGGGAGUGAAAGAGAUCCUGAACCCUUGCGCCUACAAGCGGUCGGAGCUGCUUAAUGCAGUGACGGCGUGCCUUUUGCAUAAUGAACCUACGAGUUACCAUCACAGGCAAGGUUAAGUCUCAUGAGGGACGCAACCGCAGUGAAAGCGAGGCUGAACAGGCCGUUUAGUCUGUGGGGGUAGACGCGAAACCAAGUGAUCUACACUUGUCCAGGUUGAAGUCCCGGUAACACGGGAUGGAGGACCGAACCAAUAAGCGUUGAAAAGCUUCUGGAUGAGAUGAGUGUAGGAGUGAAAGGCCAAUCAAACUUGGAGAUAGCUCGUACUCCCCGAAAGGCAUUUAGGUGCCGCGUCGGACGUUCAGCGUGAGAGGUAGAGCGACCGAUAGGACAAGAGGGCUUCACCGCCUAUCGAGUCCUGACGAACUCCGAAUGCUCACGCUCCGCAGUCCGGCAGUAAGGGGACGGGUGCUAAGGUCCGUUCCCGAGAGGAGAAGAAUCCAGACCGCCGUCUAAGGUCCCGGAAUUCUGUCUAAGUUAGUCUAACGAAGUGGGGUCUCAGUGACAGCCAGGAUGUUGGCUUGGAAGCAGCCAUUCAUUCAAAGAGUGCGUAACAGCUCACUGGUCGAGAGUCCCUGCAUGGAUAAUAAUCGGGUAUAAGACAGAUACCGAAGGCGCGGGAUAGCAGAGAAAUGAAAAGUAUCGGUAGGGGAGCAUUCCAUAUCCGUCGAAUGGUGCGGGUAACUGAUCCUGGAGGAUAUGGAAAAGCAAAUGUAGGUAUAAGUAACGAUAAGGAGGGUAAGAUUCCCUCCCGCCGCAAGACUAAGGUUUCCCGGGCAAUGUCAAUCAUCCCGGGGUCAGUCGGGUCCUAAGUCUCAGCCGAACGGCGAGGGCGAUGGCAGACACGGUCAACAUUCCGUGACUACCUUUAUGAGCGAUGCGGAGACGGAGCAGUGACACUUCCGCGAACCGACGGAAUGGUUCGUUGAAGAGUGUAGACGUAGAUCACGGUAGGCAAAUCCGCCGUGAGAGUCGAACUUGAAAGUACAGGGUCCUCUUCGGAGGAACUUGAUAGCGAAGGUAAUCAUACUCCCGAGAAAAUCCGCUAAGCAAUCUUAAAGGUACCCGUACCGCAAACGGACACACGUAGUCGGGUAGAACAUACUAAGGCGUUGAGAGAUUCAUGGUUAAGGAACUAGGCAAACUGACCCCGUAACUUCGGGAUAAGGGGUCCUCGUGAUGAGCGAGGCGCAGAGAAUAGGUCCAGGCAACUGUUUAACAAAAACACAGGGCUGUGCGAACUCGAAAGAUGAAGUAUACAGCCUGACACCUGCCCGGUGCCGGAAGGUUAAGAGGAGAUGUCAACCUUUGUGGCGAAGCAUUGAAUUGAAGCCCCGGUAAACGGCGGCCGUAACUAUAACGGUCCUAAGGUAGCGAAAUUCCUUGUCGGGUAAGUUCCGACCUGCACGAAUGGUGUAAUGAUCCGGACGCUGUCUCAACCAUGAGCUCAGUGAAAUUGUAGUAUCGGUGAAGAUGCCGAUUACCCGCGAUGGGACGAAAAGACCCCGUGAACCUUUACUACAGCUUAGCAUUGACCUUGGUCAUCCGAUGUGUAGGAUAGGCCGGAGGCUUUGAAGCGGCGUCGCCAGGCGUUGUGGAGCCAUCCUUGAAAUACGGCCCUUUGGCUGUCUGAGGUCUAACUCGCUAAUGCGAGGACACUGUUUGGUGGGUAGUUUGACUGGGGUGGUCGCCUCCAAAAGCGUAACGGAGGCUUC